UACGUAGGAAGCAAGCGUUGUCCGGAAUUACUGGGCGUAAAGCGCACGUAGGCGGCUUUCUAAGUCGGGGGUGAAAUCCUGGAGCUCAACUCCAGAACUGCCUUCGAUACUGGAAAGCUCGAGUCCGGGAGAGGUGAGUGGAACUGCGAGUGUAGAGGUGAAAUUCGUAGAUAUUCGCAAGAACACCAGUGGCGAAGGCGGCUCACUGGCCCGGUACUGACGCUGAGGUGCGAAAGCGUGGGGAGCAAACAGG
This 253-nucleotide ribosomal RNA is filed under the name uncultured bacterium. RNAcentral's name for it is "partial 16S ribosomal RNA". It matches the Rfam family "Bacterial small subunit ribosomal RNA", at positions 524 to 776 of the family's 1533-position model. The record is from RNAcentral.